Molecule: non-coding RNA, 1123 nt
Organism: Rhinopithecus roxellana (golden snub-nosed monkey)
Lineage: Eukaryota; Metazoa; Chordata; Mammalia; Primates; Cercopithecidae
Source: the annotation of a RefSeq genome assembly
AUGUUGGGCUCAGAGCUCAGGAACAUUAUCUGCAUCUGGAAGAGCAGCAGCAUUGCGACAAACAGUGUGGUCUGGCAGCAAAAGUCUCCAGGGAGGAGCCCUGAAAUCGUCCCCACCAUGGCCUGGCCUGGAUGACGCUUCUCCUCGGACUCCUUGCUUAUGGCUCAGGAGUGGAUUCUGAGACUGAGGUGACCCAGGAGCCAUCGUUGUCAGUGUCCCCUGGAGGAACAGUCACACUCACCUGUGGCCUGAGCUCUGGCUCAGUCUCUACCAGCAACUACCCCAGCUGGUACCAGCAGACCCCAGGCCAGGCUCCACGCAUGAUCAUCUACAACACAAACACUCGCCCUUCUGGGGUCCCUGAUCGCUUCUCUGGCUCCAUCCUUGGGAACAAAGCUGCCCUCACCAUCACGGGGGCUGAGGCAGACGAUGAAUCUGAUUAUUACUGUGUGCUGUACAUGGGUAGUGGCAUUUCCACGGCGAUUUAAACCUAUGAGGAAGUGCAACUAAAACCUCUUUAUAUACUCACAACAGUUCAGCCCUUACAGAUAAGAGGGAAAGUGACAGGAUGGAAAUGGUCAACACGGUGAGUGAGGAGUCUCCUUGCCCCAGUCUCUGAUGCAGGAGUUCACUGUCAGGUGCCUCUCCCAGUCUCUCCCCAGGUGUGUCCACCUCCCCAGUGUGACUGUUCCAUGGCUGUGCUUCCUCGCCACUGAGAAUAAUGUGGAGGGAGAAUUAUCUACAAAAUAUAUAAGCUCACAGUGUGUCACAGAGACCCCUGUGCUCCAGGAAGACACUUCUUACUCAAAGAGAAUUAACAGGCAUAUGCUUAUUAAUUAAUUUGACCAUGGAGGCUGACUUAAUAUUUUGUUUAUCACUGAAGUGAGAACGUUUUCAGGGAGCUUGUUAAAAAUGCAGUUCUCCAACCUAAACCUACUAAGUCAGAAACUUGUGUUGGUGCCAGAUAGCCUGUAUUUAACACCUGCACAUGAGAUUUUUCAUUAGUGUUAAUGUUUGGGAAGAACCUACUUUUAUUAUUAUAAAAUUAUUCAUAGGGAUUUCCAUUUAAAAUGAUGUCAGGUUAAUAUUCCAUAAUCCUACUCUCCUAAAUUCCCAUUUAAAA